RNAcentral lists this long non-coding RNA (1770 nucleotides) under Phasianus colchicus (ring-necked pheasant). RNAcentral's name for it is "lncRNA (ENSPCLG00000004250.1)". Lineage: Eukaryota; Metazoa; Chordata; Aves; Galliformes; Phasianidae. The record is from RNAcentral.
AAUGAAGUUUCUCAGCAGACUAAACCAAUCUAAACCAGCUUUACCAUGAUCCUCCCUCCCUUUCUCUGGUGUUCUCCAUUCCUCUUAUGCUGGCACUGAUGAUUCCCAGUGACUCAAAGCUGGUUCAGAGGACUUAACAGAAAUCUAUUAGGGCUCUCCAUAGAGUUUCAGAGCUAGCACAAGAGAGGGGGUGGAGGAUCCAAAGCAAAAUAUUAAAUUGUGAUUAUGUCUGUGCUCAGACUGGCUUAAUUGGUCACAGAAUUGAAACUUGAGGGUAUGGCAAACACUAACAUGGGGGACACAAGCUGCCAGGGCAGAAAAGAAAACUGGAAACUUCUGAAGCUGGCUUUUACAGCAAUGCCAGCAUCCUGAGUAAUUUCAUCCACAGGGUUAAGAUCAGCACAGAUGGAGCCCAGAGUCACUCAUAACAUAUUGGGUCCACUCUAUCUCCCCAUGUUGUGUGCUGCAGUACAAAAAGCAGAGGACCAGCAGAUUUUCCACAGUCCCUUUAUUCUUGCCCAGUAAAAUUGUAUACAUCAGUGGCAGCUGGAGGGAAUGCAACUUUAGGUCCUGAAAAUACCUCAAUCCAUCAACAAGGAGGUGUGGCAGCUGGUUGCUGCUGUCAUACAGGAAGGAAACUGUAGCCUUCACUUUGAGCCAUGAGAAGCAAGUCAAGAAGGGGACACUCGUGCUUUGACAGUGAACACAGUGGGGUCAAGAUCCAGGGAGAUCUACUGUAUCCCAUUGUUGCACUAUGUGUGCAGUUAGCAGCAGCCUUGCACAAGGCAGCUGAAGGAUACUGACUCAACAAUUAGUUGGCUGCCUGGCUUCUCUUGAGUAAGCAACAGUGUCUAAAGAAAACACUUGGAAGAGCUCAGAAAGAUUACUGUGAAGGAAAGCAUCAUAUGCAAUAUGAUUCUUCUUACCCACUGCAAAAAAGCAAUGAACUCAAACCUUUAGAAAUGCAAGUCAUUUUUCUUUAGAAGGCUGCAGGAAAAGCAGUGUUUUUAGAGGAAAUGUGAAAAAGGAAGCUGGCAAAACUCAUAAUAUGCCCAAUUCUGUUAACACAUCAUAUAAGAAAUAUGAAGAGAAAUUGACUAUCUUACACAGCAAUCAGGUUAUAUUUUAUUAUGUCCUGUACAAAAUAUAGCUAACUGUACUCACUAAAAAAAGUAGUUUUGUUAUGAAAACUUUAUUAGUGCUUUGGCUUGUAUAGACUUCUGGCUGGAACAUCUACCUCAACCCACAGAAUAAUUGGGGUUGGAAGAGACCUCUGGAGAUCCUCCAGGCCAACCUCCUCCUAAUGCAUGUUCCCUAGAGUAGGUUGCAUAGGAAAACAUUGAGGUAGGUCUUGAGUAUCUGCAGAGUAGACUCCACAGACUCUCUAGGCAACUUACUCCAGUAAUCUGUCACUCUCAAAGUAAAAGACUUUUUCUCAUGUUCAUGGUUUGUUAUUUGUGUUUCAGUUUGUGCCCAUUGCUCCUUGUUCUCUUGUGGACCACCACUGAAAAGAAUCUGACCCCAUUUUCAUGGCUCCGGUCUCAUAGUUAUUUGUAGGCAUUGAUGAUAAGAAUCCUCUCCGCCUUCUCUUGUCCAGGCUGAAUAACCCCAGGGCUCUCCACCUUUCCUCAUAAGGGAGAUGCUCCAGGCUUAAAUCAAUCCACUGGACUCUAGAAGUUCCUCAUCUUGAACUGUGUAACACAGAACUGAACAUAAUGAUUGAGAUGUGGCCUCAUCAGGGCACAGUAGAUGGGGAGGAUAACCUCCGUU